Molecule: transfer RNA, 77 nt
Filed under: Pilimelia anulata
Lineage: Bacteria; Bacillati; Actinomycetota; Actinomycetes; Micromonosporales; Micromonosporaceae
Description: tRNA-Thr
Rfam family: tRNA
About the family: Transfer RNA (tRNA) molecules are approximately 80 nucleotides in length. Their secondary structure includes four short double-helical elements and three loops (D, anti-codon, and T loops).
Source: RNAcentral
GCCCUUGUAGCUCAGUUGGCCAGAGCAGCCGCCUUGUAAGCGGCAGGUCGCCGGUUCGAGUCCGGCCGGGGGCUCCA